This 204-nucleotide ribosomal RNA is filed under the name Amphidinium massartii. RNAcentral's name for it is "partial Bacterial small subunit ribosomal RNA". It matches the Rfam family "Bacterial small subunit ribosomal RNA", at positions 1144 to 1347 of the family's 1533-position model. Lineage: Eukaryota; Dinophyceae; Amphidiniales; Amphidiniaceae. The record is from RNAcentral.
GGAGACUGCCGGUGACAAACCGGAGGAAGGUGGGGACGACGUCAAGUCAUCAUGGCCCUUACGCCCAGGGCUACACACGUGCUACAAUGGACGGUACAGCGGGUUGCGAGCCUGCGAAGGUGAGCUAAUCUCGAAAAGCCGUUCUCAGUUCGGAUUGGAGUCUGCAACUCGACUCCAUGAAGCCGGAAUCGCUAGUAAUCGCGG